Molecule: long non-coding RNA, 429 nt
Organism: Salmo salar (Atlantic salmon)
Lineage: Eukaryota; Metazoa; Chordata; Actinopteri; Salmoniformes; Salmonidae
Source: RefSeq, a predicted model, not a curated record
GUGUAACACAACGAUGAAGUUGCUCUGAAUUUGCUGUGAAGGGAGAUGUUUAUGAAGACAUAUUGUGACCUUACAAGGAAGCAAACAGUACGGGGACUUCAAGACAGAAUAACAUUGGCAUUGUAGUGUGUAAUUGUGGGCUAUUCUUUGGGUUCUGAAAUCAGUUUUUUUAUUUAAAAAAAUGUGACGUCGGAGUUCCAGUCCGCCAGCUAAAAACACAAACCUUCCUACCUACCACAGCCAUCCUACAGGACUUGAAACAACUACUAAGCCUCCACUCCAAUCCCUCCAUUCAAACCCCUAAUGUGCCUCUGUAUUCCUGUUUUCUCAGUGUAGUAAAUAUCCAAUACUGAAACCCUUUUGAUUUCAUUGCAUUCUCACUGAUGCAGUACUACCCUGAACCAAUGAAAUAAAACUAAGUGUACUGAA